Notolabrus celidotus (New Zealand spotty) is the source of this 492-nucleotide long non-coding RNA. RefSeq lists it as uncharacterized. The record is from RefSeq and is a predicted model, not a curated record. Lineage: Eukaryota; Metazoa; Chordata; Actinopteri; Labriformes; Labridae. The transcript has 2 exons.
CAUACCCACAACCCCUCCUCCCCAGGUUAUUACAAUCCUCCCUUCCUAUGACAUCCCCUGGUUUCCGUCCAGUGCAGCAGGUUGUCAGUUUGCCAUGUGGGACAGCAGGGGAGCGUAUUUGGACUCUGCUCUGCCCAGUCUGACAAACUGGACCGGAGUUUGGCAGGUAGAAGGGAGGCAGUGAUGUAAAGCUUGUAUUUGUAAGGACUACCAGAAAGCCUCAUGCUUACCCUGUGGGUCAACCUCCUUGGAGAUCUUCAGAGCAUCCGAGUUGGCCAGGUCAGUGUUUGCAGGGGUGACAGCCAGGAUCAGACAGCUCUCCUUGGUGAUAAACUGUAACAGCAUGUCUCUGAUCUGGUGCUCAAUGUCUACAGGCUGGUCUCCCACCGCGACCUUCGUCAUUCCCGGGAGGUCAAUCAGGGUCAGGUUCAGCACUGAGUCACAGGGACAGAAGUCAUAAUAAUGAGAAAUAAAAAUGACGUGUUCUUUCUG